AUGAACGCUAGCGAUAGGCUUAACACAUGCAAGUCGAGGGGCAGCAUGGUCUUAGCUUGCUAAGGCUGAUGGCGACCGGCGCACGGGUGCGUAACGCGUAUGCAACUUGCCUCACAGAGGGGGAUAACCCGUCGAAAGACGGACUAAUACCGCGUACACUCUAUGUUGGGCAUCCAAUGUAGAGGAAAUGAAAUUCGCUGUGAGAUAGGCAUGCGUCCCAUUAGCUAGUUGGUGAGGUAACGGCUCACCAAGGCGACGAUGGGUAGGGGAACUGAGAGGUUGAACCCCCACACUGGUACUGAGACACGGACCAGACUCCUACGGGAGGCAGCAGUGAGGAAUAUUGGUCAAUGGGCGAGAGCCUGAACCAGCCAAGUCGCGUGAAGGAUGACUGUCUUAUGGAUUGUAAACUUCUUUUAUACGGGAAUAACAAGAGUCACGUGUGGCUCCCUGCAUGUACCGUAUGAAUAAGCAUCGGCUAACUCCGUG
Molecule: ribosomal RNA, 489 nt
Filed under: uncultured bacterium
Lineage: Bacteria
Description: partial 16S ribosomal RNA
Rfam family: Bacterial small subunit ribosomal RNA
Source: RNAcentral